CUGAGCAAAGCCUGAGCAUCUGUACAUUUUGUCAAGAUGUCAUCUCUUUUUCCUGUACCGGCUGUACGUUUUGUAAGAAACACUUAAGAACAAAUUAUCAGUUUGGUAAAGUCUAAGCUUCUUUGUUGCUACCCAAUGUACACAUGGAUUUGAUGCAGCCAGCUGGUAAAGGGUGUUCCUACUGCUGUGUUUUCGUCAAAUGAAGAAACACAAACAACUGAAGUUUAUCGUGUAUGUUCGCGUAGUCCGUGUCCGAUGUGGCACGUUGUUGCAGCCUAUGUUGGUGAAAGAUCUUUCUACAUCAAGUUCAAUUGGCCGUUCCUUGGUGCUGAUGUUGUGUCACUGAAGUUGCAUCAUAUUUUGUUAAAUUCUCAUCGUGACUAUUGCAGUUUACCGUUUAUAAGUUCAGAAGCAAAAAAAAAAUUUGGGAUGCUUAUGUGAACAAAUAAUAAACAUGUUUCCGGGAUUGGGAAAGGAAAGUGGAGGAUGUUGGAGGGGGGAGGGAGGAUAUUUCAAGUUUGGAUAAAAAUUCAGUUAAUCUAUAACCCUACGAAUGUUGCCCUACCAAUUAAUCUCCAAACCCCACAAACAUAUACCUUCCAAUCCUUCAAACCCCGAAAACAUACACCUACUAA
Molecule: long non-coding RNA, 635 nt
Organism: Daphnia pulicaria
Lineage: Eukaryota; Metazoa; Arthropoda; Branchiopoda; Diplostraca; Daphniidae
Exons: 3
Source: RefSeq, a predicted model, not a curated record